RNAcentral lists this unclassified non-coding RNA (339 nucleotides) under soil metagenome. RNAcentral's name for it is "partial contains 5.8S ribosomal RNA, internal transcribed spacer 2, and large subunit ribosomal RNA". The stretch from base 1 to 120 matches the Rfam family "5.8S ribosomal RNA", at positions 35 to 154 of the family's 154-position model. The record is from RNAcentral.
GAUGAAGAACGUAGUGAAAUGCGAUAAGUAAUGUGAAUUGCAGAAUUCAGUGAAUCAUCGAAUCUUUGAACGCAUCUUGCGCUCCUUGGUAUUCCGAGGAGCAUGCCUGUUUGAGUGUCAUUUGUACCCUCAAGCUCUGCUUGGUGUUGGGUGUUUGUUCCGCCUCUGUGUGUGAACUCGCCUCAAAACAAUUGGCAGCCGGCGUACUUGUUUCGGAGCGCAGCACAUUUUGCGAUCCAGAUCAACGUACAGCGGCAUCCAAGAAGCCUUAUUUAACGCUCUUGACCUCGGAUCAGGUAGGGAUACCCGCUGAACUUAAGCAUAUCAAUAAGCGGAGGA